UUUGAAACAUUUGUACUCACAAUGUGGAG
RNAcentral lists this non-coding RNA (29 nucleotides) under Mus musculus (house mouse). Lineage: Eukaryota; Metazoa; Chordata; Mammalia; Rodentia; Muridae. The record is from RNAcentral.